CAGUCGCCACGGUAAAACGGAGGAUCCAAGCGUUAUCCGGAAUCAUUGGGUUUAAAGGGUCCGUAGGCGGUCUUGUAAGUCAGUGGUGAAAGCCCAUCGCUCAACGGUGGAACGGCCAUUGAUACUGCAGGACUUGAAUUAUUGGGAAGUAACUAGAAUAUGUAGUGUAGCGGUGAAAUGCUUAGAGAUUACAUGGAAUACCAAUUGCGAAGGCAGGUUACUACCAAUUGAUUGACGCUGAUGGACGAAAGCGUGGGUAGCGAACAGGAUUAGAUACCCGAGUAGUCCCUGUCUCUUAUAA
This 301-nucleotide ribosomal RNA is filed under the name uncultured bacterium. RNAcentral describes it as "partial 16S ribosomal RNA". It matches the Rfam family "Bacterial small subunit ribosomal RNA", at positions 509 to 809 of the family's 1533-position model. The record is from RNAcentral.